CCUCGCCCGCCACCCUGGCCUCGGGUAGGAGUGCCGACCUUGACUCUGGGACUAGAACUUCCUACGGAAAAGGAAGGCUCGGCUCCGCACCGUAGCGGGUCCAGGCCGCCCAGCAAUUACCGCUCGCCCGGAAGGUCGCUGCCAUGGCGUCCGCCUCUGAAGCCUGCUGGCGCUGCUCAGGAUCGGCUCCGCUAUGCGACGUGAGGCCACACGAAUUGACCUAAGGUACACAAGGUGAGCGCCCCAUUCCAUGUCUCCCCCCGCCCACCCUGGAUGAUUGGCUAGUCGCCAACACGUGACGGUGGGGGCACAGCCUGCCACUUGAGGGCGGGGCUCGGGACCGCCACGCUCACUUCCCCAGGUUGUUUUGAUGAUUCUCCUGCACACCGGAUUGUAGCUACUUCUCUGGAGAGCAUCUGUGAAAACUGGUUGCUGUGUCCAUUCGUCCCGCCACGGAUUCGGGUUGCUUGCACGACAUUAGGGCUAUUUAUUGGAGCAUGACAUAUCAGCUUCACCACUCAAGGACACUCCUGCCAGCAGCCUUUAACUGCCAAUAGUCCAUCAGAAAGGGCGGAGCCUCGUGAGUGCACCGCCCCCCAAACCGAUCCCUUGUCGGAGGAAGAAUGGUCUAGAUAGGGUCUACUUGGUGCUCUCCCUCCCAGACCCCAGAUAUAGGACCUCUACUGUGACAUUUGGAGAAGAUGGCUGUCAUUCUCAUCCCCUCAAUUCCCUCCAUGAGUCACUCAAAGCUAUAGGAUCUUUUUCUUUCCUUUCUUUCUCUCUCUCUCUCUUCCUUCCUUCCUUCCUUUUCUUUUUCUUUUUUUUUUUCUUUUUUUUUUUUUUUUUUUUUUAGUGGACUGUGUUUGAGAAGGUGGCUGAAAGAUCAAAGAGGGGAGUUGUAGGUCUGGACAUCUCAGAAACCGUUUCUACAUGGAAUGAGGGGCAGAAGCCUGCUACAGAAAGGCCCUCUGAGCUCUGGGUAUUGUUUGCUUACAGCAACUAAGAUUACAUACCCUAAGUCAUAUAGACUGGAGCCAUGUUACUGUCUAUCACACAGCUAGUGGUUAAGGCUGAGAGGACGGGAUUAUUUAUUUAUGAGGAACUGUAUUUAUGAUGGAAUGUGAAAGGGCAAUGAACUAGAGAGGUCUCAGUGGUCUUAGAAAAUUGUCAACUUAGGGAUAACAUAGAAGCCAGCAGCUGUUUCAAAACACGUUUCCUCAACCUUUCAUCCUCAACUAGAUUACUCAAAACUAACAAAUACACAACAGUUCACCUCCCCAGCCUCUGGUCUCUGUAGCACAAUAUAUUGCAACAUGGGCAAGUGAAAGGCAACAGAGCAAAGACUUAUUAGAAUGGCUUAAAGGCCCAGAUAGUCCAACAAUGGCUGCCUACCAAUGGAAGGUCCAAGAAUUCAGUUUUUCAGUCCAUGAGGCUGAUAUCUCAGCUUGUCUUCAGUAUAUGCUGGAAUCCCAAAGAAGUAAGCUCUAAUGCCAGAGAAGGAAUGGACUUGCCAUCAAGAGCAAAGGCAGGUCUGCAAAGAGGAGGCACAUCUCCUACUUCUGUGUCCCUUAUAUAGGCUGCCAGCAGAAGGUAUGGUCCAAAAUUAAUAAUGUAUCUUCCUAUCUCAACGAUCUGGCUCAGAAGUAAGUCUUCCCACAUCAGAUGGGGUUUUUUUGGUUGUUGUUGUUGGUUUUUUUGUUUUGUUUUGUUUUUUGUUUUGUUUUGAGACAGGGCUUCUCUGUAUAGCCCUGGCUGUCUUGGAACUCACUUUGUAGACCAGGCUGGCCUUGAACUCAGAAAUCCGCCUGCCUCUGCCUCCCGAGUGCUGGGAUUAAAGGCAUGCACCACCACGCCCGGCUCACAUCAAAUGAUUUAAUUAAGAACAAAAUAAACCCUCACAGGUGUUUUUUGAGUUUCAGAUGUAGUCAAGUUGAUGACCAAGAAGAACCACUAUAUUAUACUUGUAGUAUUAAAAUCCAUCCUGCAAGAAUUCCUUUAGCAGGAUGGAAACCAACUCAAAACAGCUUCAGGAAGUCCCUGAAACUGACCAAAUUUACUAGACUCCUCCCUGCUAUAGUAAGCAAUAAAUGCUGAGAGUCCCAUUUAGACAAAGUGAAGCCAAGCUGCAAAAAAGUAUCUUGAGACCAGACUAGUCCUGAAGAAACAGACUAGUCAAGCUGCUUGGGAGAGGUUUAGACUAGAGUCUCUUGAAAAGGACACUACAACCUGUAGAGCCUUCAGGCUGCUUCCAGGUUUUGUGAGCUGUCACCCAUGCUGGGCUGGGCUUUGGUGAUGCAGCUGUCUUUGACUCUGAUUUCUGUUCCUGCAAGUAACUCCUCACCCACAGUCCAGCAAGUAACCCCAAUAAAACUCAUUAGUUCACC
Mus musculus (house mouse) is the source of this 2384-nucleotide long non-coding RNA. RefSeq annotates it as predicted gene, 42274. The transcript has 2 exons. The record is from RefSeq and is marked validated. NCBI's taxonomy places the organism in Eukaryota, Metazoa, Chordata, Mammalia, Rodentia, Muridae.